Molecule: small nucleolar RNA, 132 nt
Organism: Parambassis ranga (Indian glassy fish)
Lineage: Eukaryota; Metazoa; Chordata; Actinopteri; Ambassidae
Product: small nucleolar RNA SNORA44
Source: Ensembl
GAGCAUGCUAUCCUAAGGACCUGAGCUUUGUUUGUGGCUCAGUGUUCUCCAAGUGUGUGCUAGAUAAUUGGGUGGUCUUUGACUGCUGUGGCCCAUUUCUGUCAUCAGCAGCCACUCAGCUGUCCUACAGAU